UCAGUUUUUUUUCCAAAACACAUUCAUCAGGUCAUAGUAUCACCACAUAUGGGUAUGACACCCUUUUUGAGGACAACUAAUCCAGCAGCAUGAUGAGAACAUUUUAUCAAUGCUGUUUUUCACCACCACUUCUUGCCUCAUCCACAGAGAACCUAUGGAACUUCAGAGAAUCUUCUAAGAUGCUUUGGAAAAUCUAUCGAGAGUCUACAGAUCUUUGAGUCAUAUCUUCAAGGACUGCUUUCGGGUUGUUCCUUCCUUUCAAGUGAUGGGACAAUGCAGUGCAGGAAUGACACAAGCUAAAGCUAUGACCAGCCCUGAGGAUGGGGGCUAACUGUAGCUGUCUGUUUGGGUGCUGAUUCCAACAGUUCGAGUCAGCUUGUCCAGAGGAGAUGACUUAACUAAGCUGUUUGCUGCACAAUGUCCACAUUGUUGAGAUAUUGCCAUGGUGACAUACUGCAGGCCACUAUUGAGUCGCCCAUCAGUUCAUUACAAGGUUCUUCGAACAGAAGACUGUCAACUGACCUUGCACGUAAAUUAGGCCUCUGA
This 546-nucleotide long non-coding RNA is filed under the name Salvator merianae (Argentine black and white tegu). RNAcentral describes it as "lncRNA (ENSSMRG00000014242.1)". The record is from RNAcentral. Lineage: Eukaryota; Metazoa; Chordata; Lepidosauria; Squamata; Teiidae.